This 720-nucleotide ribosomal RNA is filed under the name uncultured Planctomycetota bacterium. RNAcentral's name for it is "bacterial SSU rRNA". It matches the Rfam family "Bacterial small subunit ribosomal RNA", at positions 565 to 1274 of the family's 1533-position model. Lineage: Bacteria; Pseudomonadati; Planctomycetota. The record is from RNAcentral.
GAGCACGUAGGUGGGUUUGUAAGUCAGACGUGAAAGCCUUCUGUUCAACGGAAGAAUUGCAUCUGAAACUACAAACCUUGAGUGUAGGAGGGGAGAAUGGAACUUCUGGUGGAGCGGUGAAAUGCGUAGAUAUCAGAAGGAACGCCGGCGGCGAAAGCGAUUCUCUGGCCUAUUACUGACACUCAGUGUGCGAAAGCUAGGGGAGCAAACGGGAUUAGAUACCCCGGUAGUCCUAGCCGUAAACGAUGGGCACUAAGUAGAGGGAAUUACCGAUGUUCUCUCUGCCGUAGCUAACGCAUUAAGUGCCCCGCCUGGGGAGUACGGCCGCAAGGCUAAAACUCAAAAGAAUUGACGGGGGCUCGCACAAGCGGUGGAGCAUGUGGCUUAAUUCGAUGCAACGCGAAAAACCUUACCGGGGCUUGACAUGGUAGAAGUAGGAACCCGAAAGGGUAACGAACGGUAUCCAGUCCGUGACUAUCACAGGUGUUGCAUGGCUGUCGUCAGCUCGUGUCGUGAGACGUUGGGUUAAGUCCCCUAACGAGCGAAACCCUUGUUUUUAGUUGCCAGCGGGCUGUGCCGGGCACUCUAGAAAGACUGCCGUCGUCAAGACGGAGGAAGGUGGGGAUGACGUCAAGUCAUCAUGGCCCUUAUGCCCCGGGCUGCACACGUGCUACAAUGGCCGGUACAAACGGAAGCGAAGCCGAGAGGUGAAGCGAAUCC